ACGAACGCUGGCGGCGUGCCUAAUACAUGCAAGUAGAACGCACAGUUUAUACCGUAGCUUGCUACACCAUAGACUGUGAGUUGCGAACGGGUGAGUAACGCGUAGGUAACCUGCCUGGUAGCGGGGGAUAACUAUUGGAAACGAUAGCUAAUACCGCAUAAUAUUAAUUAUUGCAUGAUAAUUAAUUGAAAGGUGCAAUUGCACCACUACCAGAUGGACCUGCGUUGUAUUAGCUAGUAGGUGAGGUAACGGCUCACCUAGGCGACGAUACAUAGCCGACCUGAGAGGGUGAUCGGCCACACUGGGACUGAGACACGGCCCAGACUCCUACGGGAGGCAGCAGUAGGGAAUCUUCGGCAAUGGACGAAAGUCUGACCGAGCAACGCCGCGUGAGUGAAGAAGGUUUUCGGAUCGUAAAGCUCUGUUGUAAGAGAAGAACGGGUGUGAGAGUGGAAAGUUCACACUGUGACGGUACCUUACCAGAAAGGGACGGCUAACUACGUG
This 504-nucleotide ribosomal RNA is filed under the name uncultured bacterium. RNAcentral's name for it is "partial 16S ribosomal RNA". It matches the Rfam family "Bacterial small subunit ribosomal RNA", at positions 29 to 507 of the family's 1533-position model. The record is from RNAcentral.